ACCUGAUAGUUUGGCUUUCGAUUUCGGUCGAUAAGCUUUAUCUGCUUAAAUAGACAAAUUGCUUUCAGCAAUAUGAAAUUGAGCAAUAACAGGUCCGUGAUGCCCUUAGAUGUUCUGGGCGGCACGCGAGUUACAAUGAAGCUGACAACGUGUUACCUUAUCCGAGAGGAUUGGGAAAUCACUUAGCCAGCUUCCUAGUUGGG
This 203-nucleotide ribosomal RNA is filed under the name Chrysochromulina rotalis. Its description in RNAcentral is "partial Eukaryotic small subunit ribosomal RNA". It matches the Rfam family "Eukaryotic small subunit ribosomal RNA", at positions 1366 to 1575 of the family's 1831-position model. The record is from RNAcentral. Lineage: Eukaryota; Haptophyta; Prymnesiales; Chrysochromulinaceae.